Molecule: ribosomal RNA, 373 nt
Filed under: uncultured bacterium
Lineage: Bacteria
Description: bacterial SSU rRNA
Rfam family: Bacterial small subunit ribosomal RNA
Source: RNAcentral
AUUGAACGCUGGCGGCAGGCCUAACACAUGCAAGUCGAGCGGGGUUUUCGGACCUAGCGGCGGACGGGUGAGUAAUGCGUAGGAAGCUACCCGAUAGAGGGGGAUACCAGUUGGAAACGACUGUUAAUACCGCAUAAUGUCUACGGACCAAAGUGUGGGACCUUCGGGCCACAUGCUAUCGGAUGCGCCUACGUGGGAUUAGCUAGUUGGUGGGGUAAUGGCUCACCAAGGCGACGAUCCCUAGCUGGUUUGAGAGGAUGAUCAGCCACACUGGAACUGAGACACGGUCCAGACUCCUACGGGAGGCAGCAGUGGGGAAUAUUGGACAAUGGGCGGCAAGCCUGAUCCAGCCAUGCCGCGUGUGUGAAGAAGG